CGAACCUCUUGCUUGCUUUGUGUUAUUAUGACUGCCAUAGAUACUUGUCGAUUUAAAUCUUUUUGGAUUAUAAAGACAAGAAUGGGCCAUGAAGGCAUAGGAUCAAGAUCCAAAUAUAACGGCAGCCUAUGUUUGUUAAAUUAUUGGUUUUAGAUUCAAGAAAAAUAUAAAACAAAACAUUAUCUCUUUCUAGAAGACAAUUAGGUUAAGACGUCGCUACCGUUCCGAUUUCUCAGCUUUGCAUCUCCGGCGGCCACCAUGGCGUUGCGAGAGGACUCUCUAGAUCCUUUCAUCUCGUUCCCUUGUUUUAUUGUUAGUUAUGUUUGCGAAAAUUUGGCCUUCGAUUGAGGAGUUGCUGAUAAACUCGGGUUGUGAAAGGGUGAUCUUUGCGUAAGCGGUCGAAAGUGGUCAGAUUUACUUGUUUUGAGAUUCUCCUAUUCGGGGUGGAAAUUGCAGUGAAUGAUAGCUGGCUCGUUUUGAUGGUGUUCUUGUUCGCAAGAAGGGUUAUUUCGAGUGGUUAGGCUUGUCUCCUUGUCUUUGCUUUGCAGAUUGGGUAGAUAUUUGAAAGUGUUUUGUAGACUUCUAUCUAUGCGUAAAUUGGUGGCGUAAGGGUCGUUAUCGUCGUCACAUCUAGAAGUGGUUGAGGUUCAACUAGUGUCUUUGCUUGCUGGGUUAUGAAGGUCUUGGUUUCUUCGUUUGGAGAGGUCGGCUCUCAUGUUGAUAGGAGGAAGUGGUUGUUAUCUUUGGUUUGCCGAGGGCAUCACUGAUAAAUCUCAUUCUUAGGAUCUUCAAAAGAAGAAGUUGAAUUGUGGAAUUUAUGCUAGCUUACUAUGAAGAUUGAAGUCUUGUUGCUAUUA
Molecule: non-coding RNA, 857 nt
Organism: Camelina sativa (false flax)
Lineage: Eukaryota; Viridiplantae; Streptophyta; Magnoliopsida; Brassicales; Brassicaceae
Source: RefSeq, a predicted model, not a curated record